GCUCUGGAGGACUGUGGUCUCCAGCCCGGGAGAUGCUGCUUCUGCAGGUGCCAGACCACAGGCCCCACCUCAGAAGAUCCAGGUCAUAAGAUUUCCAGGCU
Molecule: long non-coding RNA, 101 nt
Organism: Talpa occidentalis (Iberian mole)
Lineage: Eukaryota; Metazoa; Chordata; Mammalia; Eulipotyphla; Talpidae
Exons: 3
Source: RefSeq, a predicted model, not a curated record